AACUAGCCCCGAUUGUAACGGAUACCCCACAGCAGGCGUUGGCAAUUGCGGCGGCGCGAGGAGUAUGAGUGGAAAGCGGGAUCAGCU
RNAcentral lists this small RNA (87 nucleotides) under Epilithonimonas arachidiradicis. Its description in RNAcentral is "Chryseobacterium arachidiradicis Flavo-1 RNA". Lineage: Bacteria; Pseudomonadati; Bacteroidota; Flavobacteriia; Flavobacteriales; Weeksellaceae. The record is from RNAcentral.